GACGAACGCUGGCGGCGUGCCUAAUACAUGCAAGUCGAACGCAGUGGGGACGGGUGAGUAACACGUGGGUAACCUGCCCAUCAGAGGGGAUAACACUUGGAAACAGGUGCUAAACCGAUACUGAUGGAUGGAGCCGCGGUGCAUUAGCUAGUGGGUGAGGUAACGGCUCAACAAGGCCACGAUGCAUAGCCGACCGGCGAGGGUGAUCGGCCACACUGGGACUGAGACACGGCCCAGAAUCCUACGGGAGGCAGCAGUAGGGAAUCUUAGGCAAUGGACGAAAGUCUGACCGAGCAACGCCGCGUGAUUGAAGAAGGUUUUCGGAUCGUAAAACUCUGUUGUUAGAGAAGCGGUAUCUAACCAGAAAGCCACGGCUAACUACGUGCCAGCCGCCGCGGUAAUAC
This 404-nucleotide ribosomal RNA is filed under the name uncultured bacterium. RNAcentral's name for it is "partial 16S ribosomal RNA". It matches the Rfam family "Bacterial small subunit ribosomal RNA", at positions 28 to 526 of the family's 1533-position model. The record is from RNAcentral.